This 1251-nucleotide ribosomal RNA is filed under the name Enterococcus casseliflavus. Its description in RNAcentral is "partial 16S ribosomal RNA". It matches the Rfam family "Bacterial small subunit ribosomal RNA", at positions 30 to 1213 of the family's 1533-position model. The record is from RNAcentral. Lineage: Bacteria; Bacillati; Bacillota; Bacilli; Lactobacillales; Enterococcaceae.
GGCAUGCCGGCCGUGCUAAUACUGCAGUCGAACGCUUUUUCGUUCCCUGGAUCUCGCUCCACCGAAGGAAAAAGAGUGACUAACGGGUGAGUAACCCGUGGGUAACCUGCCCAUCACACGGGGAUAACGCUUGUAAACCGGUGCUAAUACCGUAUAACACUAUUUUCCACAUGGAAGAAAGUUUAAAGGCGCUUUUACGUCUGUGAUGGAUGGACCCGCGGUGCUUUAUCUAGUUGGGGAUGAAACGGCUCACCAAGGCAACGAUGCAUAGCCGACCUGACAGGGAGAUCGGCCCCACUGCGACUGACACACGCCCCAGACUCCUACGGGAAGCAACAGUACGGAAUCGUCCGAAAUGGACGAAAAUCUGACCGACCAACGCCGCGUGAGUGAACAAAGUUUUCGGAUCGGAAAACUCUGAUGUUAGAGAAGAACAAGGAUGAGAGUAAAAUGUUCAUCCCUUGACGGUAUCUAACCAGAAAGCCACGGUUAACUACGUGCCAGCAACCGCUGUAAUACGUACGUGGCAAGCAUUGUCCGGAUUUAUUGGGCGUAAAGCGAGCUCAUGCGGUUUCAUAAGUCUGAUGUGAAAUCCCCCGGCUCAACCGGGGAGGGUCAUUGGAAACUGGGAGACUUGAAUGCAAAUGAAGAUAGUGGAAUUCCAUGUGUAGCGGUGAAAUGCGUAGAUAUAUGGAGGAACACCAGUGGCUAAGGCGGCUCUCUGGUCUGUAACUGACGCUGAGGCUCGAAAGCGUGCGGAGCUAACAGGAUUAGAUACCCCUGGUAGUCCACGCCGUAAGCGAUGAGUGCUAAGUGUUGCACGGUUUCCGCCCUUUCAGUGAUGCAGUAAACGCUUUAACCGCUCCGCCUGGGGCACUACGACCGUCACGGUUGAAACUCAAAAGGAAUUGACAGAGUGCCCGCUACAAUCCGGUGAAUCAUGUGGGAUUCAUUCCGAAGCAACGCUUACAAGCUUUACCAGGUCCUGGAAAUCCUUUUGAACCAUUCUGAAAAAUUCAAUCUUCCCCCUUCAGGGGGCAAAAUGGACAGGUGGUUGCCAUGGAUUUUCGUUCACCUCAGGGUCCUGGAAAUAGUUGGGGUCAAUUCCCCGCAACGAGUGGAACCCUUUAUUGGUAAGUUGCCAAUCAGUUAACUUGGGGCGUACUAAGCCGGAACUGACCGGUGGAAAAAACCGGUAGGAAAGGGGGGGGAAUCCUUCAAACCCAUCUUUGCCCCCUUUGGGGACCGUGG